CCUACGGGGGACAGCAGUGAGGAAUAUUGGUCAAUGGGCGCAAGCCUGAACCAGCCAAGCCGCGUGAAGGAUGACGGCCCUACGGGUUGUAAACUUCUUUUGUAAAGGAGUAAAGUGCGGUACGUGUGCCUUUUUGUAUGUACUUUAUGAAUAAGGAUCGGCUAACUCCGUGCCAGCAGCCGCGGUAAUACGGAGGAUCCGAGCGUUAUCCGGAUUUAUUGGGUUUAAAGGGUGCGUAGAUGGUUUUUUAAGUUAGUUGUGAAAUUUUGCUGCUCAACCGCAGGGCUGCCGUUGAUACUGUAGGACUGGAGAGCAGGUGAGGCAGGCGGAAUUCGUAGUGUAGCGGUGAAAUGCGUAGAUAUUAGGAGGAACAC
RNAcentral lists this ribosomal RNA (374 nucleotides) under uncultured bacterium. Its description in RNAcentral is "partial 16S ribosomal RNA". It matches the Rfam family "Bacterial small subunit ribosomal RNA", at positions 338 to 709 of the family's 1533-position model. The record is from RNAcentral.